Molecule: transfer RNA, 76 nt
Filed under: Dulcicalothrix desertica PCC 7102
Lineage: Bacteria; Bacillati; Cyanobacteriota; Cyanophyceae; Nostocales; Calotrichaceae
Description: Calothrix desertica PCC 7102 tRNA-Leu
Rfam family: tRNA
About the family: Transfer RNA (tRNA) molecules are approximately 80 nucleotides in length. Their secondary structure includes four short double-helical elements and three loops (D, anti-codon, and T loops).
Source: RNAcentral
UACCCCUGUAGCCCAAUUGGUAGAGGCGCCUAUCUCAAAAAUAGGAGGAUGCAGAUUCAAAUUCUGCCAGGGGUAU